Molecule: transfer RNA, 55 nt
Filed under: Junonia genoveva infuscata
Lineage: Eukaryota; Metazoa; Arthropoda; Insecta; Lepidoptera; Nymphalidae
Description: partial tRNA-Met
Source: RNAcentral
AAAGUAAGCUUUUGGGUUCAUACCCCAAAUAUAAAGGAAACCCCUUUUUUUUAAA